GGAGCAGGAGAGGAGGGACAGGGAGAGGAGCAGGAGAGGAGGGACAGGGAGAGGAGCAGGAGAGGAGGGACAGGGAGAGGAGCAGGAGAGGAGGGACAGGGAGAGGAGCAGGAGAGGAGGGACAGGGAGAGGAGCAGGAGAGGAGGGACAGGGAGAGGAGCAGGAGAGGAGGGACAGGGAGAGGAGCAGGAGAGGAGGGACAGGGAGAGGAGCAGGAGAGGAGGGACAGGGAGAGAUGUGCAAGGAAGAAGAGGGAGAGAUGAACAUGAGUGAACCUGACCAGUACUGGUGAUGUCAGCAGCUGUGAAGGAGCGGCUGGUUUCUUACUGAUCUAGUCUACAUCCCCGAGGAUCAGCUGAUCUAGCCUACAUCCCAGGUGAUCAGCUGAUCUAGCCUACAUCCCAGGUGAUCAGCUGAUCUAGCCUACAUCCCCGAGGAUCAGCUGAUCUAGCCUACAUCCCCGAGGAUCAGCUGAUCUAGUCUACAUCCCCGAUGAUCAGCUGAUCUAGUCUACAUCCCCGAUGAUCAGCUGAUCUAGUCUACAUCCCCGAUGAUCAGCUGAUUCUAGUCUACAUCCCCGAUGAUCAGCUGAUCUAGUCUACAUCCCCGAUGAUCAGCUGAUCUAGUCUACAUCCCAGCUGAUCAGCUGAUCUAGUCUACAUCCCCGAUGAUCAGCUGAUCUAGUCUACAUCCCUGAUGAUCAGCUGAUCUAGUCUACAUCCCAGCUGAUCUAGUCUACAUCCCCGAUGAUCAGCUGAUCUAGUCUACAUCCCAGCUGAUCUAGUCUACAUCCCCGAUGAUCAGCUGAUCUAGUCUACAUCCCCGAUGAUCAGCUGAUCUAGUCUACAUCCCAGCUGAUCUAGUCUACAUCCCCGAUGAUCAGCUGAUCUAGUCUACAUCCCAGAUGAUCAGCUGAUCUAGUCUACAUCCCCGAGGAUCAGCUGAUCUAGCCUACAUCCCAGCUGAUCUAGCCUACAUCCCAGAUGAUCAGCUGAUCUAGCCUACAUCCCAGAUGAUCAGCUGAUCUAGCCUACAUCCCAGAUGAUCAGCUGAUCUAGUCUACAUCCCAGAUGAUCAGCUGAUCUAGUCUACAUCCCCGAUGAUCAGCUGAUCUAGUCUACAUCCCAGCUGAUCUAGCCUACAUCCCCGAUGAUCAGCUGAUCUAGCCUACAUCCCAGCUGAUCUAGUCUACAUCCCAGAUGAUCAGCUGAUCUAGCCUACAUCCCAGCUGAUCUAGCCUACAUCCCAGCUGAUCUAGUCUACAUCCCAGCUGAUCUAGUCUACAUCCCCGAUGAUCAGCUGAUCUAGCCUACAUCCCAGAUGAUCAGCUGAUCUAGUCUACAUCCCAGAUGAUCAGCUGAUCUAGCCUACAUCCCUGAUGAUCAGCUGAUCUAGCCUACAUCCCAGCUGAUCAGCUGAUCUAGCCUACAUCCCAGCUGAUCUAGCCUACAUCCCAGCUGAUCAACUGAUCUAGCCUACAUCCCCGAUGAUCUAGCCUACAUCCCUGAUGAUCAGCUGAUCUAGCCUACAUCCCAGCUGAUCUAGCCUACAUCCCAGCUGAUUAGCUGAUCUAGUCUACAUCCCCGAUGAUCAGCUGAUCUAGCCUACAUCCCUGAUGAUCAGCUGAUCUAGUCUACAUCCCUGAUGAUCAGCUGAUCUAGCCUACAUCCCUGAUGAUCAGCUGAUCUAGCCUACAUCCCAGCUGAUCUAGCCUACAUCCCCGAUGAUCAGCUGAUCUAGUCUACAUCCCCAAUGAUCAGCUGAUCUAGUCUACAUCCCCAAUGAUCAGCUGAUCUAGUCUACAUCCCCGAUGAUCAGCUGAUCUAGCCUACAUCCCAGCUGAUCUAGCCUACAUCCCAGCUGAUCUAGCCUACAUCCCCGAUGAUCAGCUGAUCUAGCCUACAUCCCCGAUGAUCAGCUGAUCUAGCCUACAUCCCAGCUGAUCUAGUCUACAUCCCCGAUGAUCAGCUGAUCUAGUCUACAUCCCCGAUGAUCAGCUGAUCUAGUCUACAUCCCCGAUGAUCAGCUGAUCUAGUCUACAUCCCAGCUGAUCAGCUGAUUCUAGUCUACAUCCCAGCUGAUCAGCUGAUUCUAGUCUACAUCCCAGCUGAUCAGCUGAUCUAGUCUACAUCCCAGAUGAUCAGCUGAUCUAGUCUACAUCCCAGCUGAUCUAGCCUACAUCCCAGAUGAUCAGCUGAUCUAGUCUACAUCCCAGCUGAUCUAGCCUACAUCCCAGCUGAUCUAGCCUACAUCCCAGCUGAUCUAGUCUACAUCCCAGCUGAUCUAGCCUACAUCCCAGCUGAUCUAGCCUACAUCCCAGAUGAUCAGCUGAUCUAGUCUACAUCCCAGAUGAUCAGCUGAUCUAGUCUACAUCCCAGCUGAUCUAGCCUACAUCCCAGCUGAUCUAGCCUACAUCCCAGAUGAUCAGCUGAUCUAGUCUACAUCCCAGAUGAUCAGCUGAUCUAGUCUACAUCCCAGCUGAUCUAGCCUACAUCCCAGCUGAUCUAGUCUACAUCCCAGCUGAUCUAGUCUACAUCCCAGCUGAUCUAGUCUACAUCCCAGCUGAUCUAGUCUACAUCCCAGCUGAUCUAGUCUACAUCCCCGAUGAUCAGCUGAUCUAGCCUACAUCCCCGAUGAUCAGCUGAUCUAGCCUACAUCCCAGCUGAUCUAGUCUACAUCCCCGAUGAUCAGCUGAUCUAGCCUACAUCCCAGCUGAUCAGCUGAUCUAGCCUACAUCCCAGCUGAUCAGCUGAUCUAGCCUACAUCCCAGCUGAUCUAGCCUACAUCCCUGAUGAUCAGCUGAUCUAGCCUACAUCCCAGCUGAUCAGCUGAUCUAGCCUACAUCCCCGAUGAUCUAGCCAACAUCCCUGAUGAUCAGCUGAUCUAGCCUACAUCCCUGAUGAUCAGCUGAUCUAGUCUACAUCCCAGCUGAUCUAGCCUACAUCCCAGCUGAUCUAGCCUACAUCCCAGAUGAUCAGCUGAUCUAGCCUACAUCACAAGAAAAUGGCUACAUAAAAAAAAGGUGAAUUUGGCUAUAGAAGCAGUAGAAAUGGAAUGAGGUUUAAUUUUUGGGAAUGCUGUUGAAUGGAAUGAGGUUUAAUUUUUGGGAAUGCUGUUGAAUGGAAUGAGGUUUAAUUUUUGGGAAUGCUGUUGAAUGGAAUGAGGUUUAAUUUUUGGGAAUGCUGUUGAAUGGAAUGAGGUUUAAUUUUUGGGAAUGCUGUUGAAUGGAAUGAGGUUUAAUUUUUGGGAAUGCUGUUGAAUGGAAUGAGGUUUAAUUUUUGGGAAUGCUGUUGAAUGGAAUGAGGUUUAAUUUUUGGGAAUGCUGUUUGGGAAUGACGGUAUAGUAUUUAUAUGUUUAUCAGCUGCC
This is a long non-coding RNA of Oncorhynchus keta (chum salmon), 3367 nucleotides long. RefSeq lists it as uncharacterized. The transcript is spliced from 3 exons. The record is from RefSeq and is a predicted model, not a curated record. Lineage: Eukaryota; Metazoa; Chordata; Actinopteri; Salmoniformes; Salmonidae.